UGAAGUGAUGAUGGCAAAGAGGCCACACCCGUUCCCAUACCGAACACGGAAGUUAAGCUCUUUAGCGCCGAUGGUACUGCAUGAGAGAUUGUGUGGGAGAGUAGGACAUUGCCGGGA
Molecule: ribosomal RNA, 117 nt
Filed under: Deltaproteobacteria bacterium
Lineage: Bacteria; Pseudomonadati; Myxococcota; Myxococcia
Source: RNAcentral